UGGGGAAUUUUCCGCAAUGGGCGAAAGCCUGACGGAGCAAUGCCGCGUGGAGGUGGAAGGCCUACGGGUCGUCAACUUCUUUUCUCGGAGAAGAAACAAUGACGGUAUCUGAGGAAUAAGCAUCGGCUAACUCUGUGCCAAG
RNAcentral lists this ribosomal RNA (142 nucleotides) under uncultured bacterium. Its description in RNAcentral is "partial 16S rRNA". It matches the Rfam family "Bacterial small subunit ribosomal RNA", at positions 355 to 512 of the family's 1533-position model. The record is from RNAcentral.